This 254-nucleotide ribosomal RNA is filed under the name uncultured bacterium. RNAcentral's name for it is "partial 16S ribosomal RNA". It matches the Rfam family "Bacterial small subunit ribosomal RNA", at positions 524 to 776 of the family's 1533-position model. The record is from RNAcentral.
UACGUAGGAGGCGAGCGUUGUCCGGAGUUACUGGGCGUAAAGGGUGCGCAGGCGGCGUCACGCGUGGAUAGUUGAAAUCUCCUGGCUUACCUGGGAGGGUGGUAUCCAGACGGUGGCGCUUGAGGGUCGGAGAGGGGCGUGGAAUUCCGGGUGGAGCGGUGAAAUGCGUAGAGAUCCGGAGGAACACCAAUGGCGAAGGCAGCUCGCUGGGACGUGACUGACGCUGAGACGCGAAAGCGUGGGGAGCAAACAGG